This 245-nucleotide ribosomal RNA is filed under the name uncultured bacterium. RNAcentral's name for it is "partial 16S ribosomal RNA". It matches the Rfam family "Bacterial small subunit ribosomal RNA", at positions 1257 to 1500 of the family's 1533-position model. The record is from RNAcentral.
GCGACCUUAAGCGAAUCCCAAAAAUAAACGUCCCAGUUCGGAUUGCAGUCUGCAACUCGAGUGCAUGAAGCUGGAAUCGCUAGUAAUCGCGAAUCAGAAUGUCGCGGUGAAUACGUUCCCGGGUCUUGUACACACCGCCCGUCACACCAUGGGAGUCGGAAAUGCCCGAAGUCAGUGACCCAACCGUAAGGAGGGAGCUGCCGAAGGUGGAGCCGGUAACUGGGGUGAAGUCGUAACAAGGUAUC